Molecule: long non-coding RNA, 497 nt
Organism: Syngnathus acus (greater pipefish)
Lineage: Eukaryota; Metazoa; Chordata; Actinopteri; Syngnathiformes; Syngnathidae
Exons: 2
Source: RefSeq, a predicted model, not a curated record
GCACAAAUAAGUGGCCACCCGAUUUGUAACUCGUGAAGCAAUAACUUCCUCUCUGUUUCUUUUGCUAGUCGCUACAGGUUUGUCCUGAGUGACUCCUCUUCCGUUGAAAAGACAUUUUUAGUCCUAUUCCACUGAAAAGGCUUUGUCAUUUUUGACAGCUGUACCCGAAGGAGGUAACUGUAACUGCAGCCCGGCCGGCCCCACCUUGUUAAAAAAGGAGGACGGGGCGCGAGGGAGCGCUCUGGACGCUGGAGGAGAUGGGAGCGGUAGAUGGGAAGCCACUGCACUCAACUGGAUUCAACCCAACUGGGCACACGGAGCGAGGGAGCAGGCAGAUGUUUUCCAUUGACUCGAAGGGAGUGGAGGCAGGCCCUCGGACAUGCCAGGACACACAACAUGGAAGGGUCAUGACGACGGCUUCCUUUCCGCCCCUCGUUCUCAAACAACAUGGGCUCUUUGUUAGCGCUCAUGCAAAUAAAGCAAUAUUUAAAUCAAAA